UACGUAGGGUGCAAGCGUUGCUCGGAAUUACUGGGCGUAAAGCGCACGUAGGCGGCUUUCUAAGUCGGGGGUGAAAUCCUGGAGCUCAACUCCAGAACUGCCUUCGAUACUGGAGAGCUUGAGUCCGGGAGAGGUGAGUGGAACUGCGAGUGUAGAGGUGAAAUUCGUAGAUAUUCGCAAGAACACCAGUGGCGAAGGCGGCUCACUGGCCCGGUACUGACGCUGAGGUGCGAAAGCGUGGGGAGCAAACAGG
This 253-nucleotide ribosomal RNA is filed under the name uncultured bacterium. RNAcentral describes it as "partial 16S ribosomal RNA". It matches the Rfam family "Bacterial small subunit ribosomal RNA", at positions 524 to 776 of the family's 1533-position model. The record is from RNAcentral.